AUCAACUCGAGGCAGACACAAAGCUAUAAAACCAAAUCAACGUUGAGUUUUUAAACAGAAUUAAAAGGUUUUUCAGACCAUAAACAAAGACCCAAAAGCACAGAUAAGCACAAAAUACAAAAAAAUAAAAAAAUAAAAUAAUUCAACCUGAUGCAUGUACAAAACAUUGAAACAAAAUCAAGAUUGAAUUUUUAAAAAGAAUUAAAAGACCUUUCAGAUCCAACAAAACAGAUAGCCCCACAAACAGAAAAUUCAACUUGGUGCAGCAACAAAGCUAUAAAACCAAAUCAAGAUUGAAACUUUAAACAGAAUUAAAAGGUUUUUCUGAUCAUAAACACAUACCCAACAAAACAUAUAGCAAGAAAAUAAAAUAAAA
Lycium ferocissimum is the source of this 376-nucleotide long non-coding RNA. RefSeq lists it as uncharacterized. The transcript is spliced from 2 exons. NCBI's taxonomy places the organism in Eukaryota, Viridiplantae, Streptophyta, Magnoliopsida, Solanales, Solanaceae. The record is from RefSeq and is a predicted model, not a curated record.